GAUGAACGCUGGCGGCGUGCCUAAUACAUGCAAGUCGAGCGAACAGACGAGGAGCUUGCUCCUCUGACGUUAGCGGCGGACGGGUGAGUAACACGUGGCUAACCUACCUAUAAGACUGGGAUAACUUCGGGAAACCGGAUCUAAUACCGGAUAAUAUAUUGAACCGCAUGGUUCAAUAGUGAAAGACGGUUUUGCUGUCACUUAUAGAUGGAUCCGCGCCGCAUUAGCUAGUUGGUAAGGUAACGGCUUACCAAGGCAACGAUGCGUAGCCGACCUGAGAGGGUGAUCGGCCACACUGGAACUGAGACACGGUCCAGACUCCUACGGGAGGCAGCAGUAGGGAAUAUUCCGCAAUGGGCGAAAGCCUGACGGAGCAACGCCGCGUGAGUGAUGAAGGUCUUCGGAUCGUAAAACUCUGUUAUUAGGGAAGAACAAAUGUGUAAGUAACUAUGCACGUCUUGACGGUACCUAAUCAGAAAGCCACGGCUAACUACGUG
RNAcentral lists this ribosomal RNA (497 nucleotides) under uncultured bacterium. RNAcentral's name for it is "partial 16S ribosomal RNA". It matches the Rfam family "Bacterial small subunit ribosomal RNA", at positions 28 to 507 of the family's 1533-position model. The record is from RNAcentral.